AUUGAACGCUGGCGGCAGGCCUAACACAUGCAAGUCGAACGAGUGGCGGACGGGUGAGUAAUGUCUGGGAAACUGCCCGAUGGAGGGGGAUAAAUACUGGAAACGGUAGCUAAUACCGCAUACCAUCGGAGGUGCCCAGAUGGGAUUAGCUAGUAGGUGGGGUAACGGCUCACCAAGGCGACGAUCCAUAGCUGGUCGGAUAGGAUGACCAGCCACAAUGGAACUGAGACACGGUCCAGACUCGUCCGGAGGGCAGCAGUGGGGAAUAUGGCACAAUGGGCUCAAGCCUGAUGCAGCCAUGCCGCGUGUAUGAAGCAGGCCUUCGGGUUGUAAAGUACGUUCAGCGAGGAGGCGUUACUCGCAGAAGAAGCACCGGCUAACUCCGUGCCAGCAGCCGCGGUAAUUC
RNAcentral lists this ribosomal RNA (406 nucleotides) under uncultured bacterium. RNAcentral's name for it is "partial 16S ribosomal RNA". It matches the Rfam family "Bacterial small subunit ribosomal RNA", at positions 30 to 526 of the family's 1533-position model. The record is from RNAcentral.